Molecule: ribosomal RNA, 301 nt
Filed under: uncultured bacterium
Lineage: Bacteria
Description: partial 16S ribosomal RNA
Rfam family: Bacterial small subunit ribosomal RNA
Source: RNAcentral
CAGUCGCCGCGGGAAUACGUAGGUGGCAAGCGUUGUCCGGAAUUAUUGGGCGUAAAGGGCUCGCAGGCGGUUUCUUAAGUCUGAUGUGAAAGCCCCCGGCUCAACCGGGGAGGGUCAUUGGAAACUGGGAAACUUGAGUGCAGAAGAGGAGAGUGGAAUUCCACGUGUAGCGGUGAAAUGCGUAGAGAUGUGGAGGAACACCAGUGGCGAAGGCGACUCUCUGGUCUGUAACUGACGCUGAGGAGCGAAAGCGUGGGGAGCGAACAGGAUUAGAUACCCCCGUAGUCCCUGUCUCUAUACA